This 473-nucleotide ribosomal RNA is filed under the name uncultured organism. Its description in RNAcentral is "partial 16S ribosomal RNA". It matches the Rfam family "Bacterial small subunit ribosomal RNA", at positions 331 to 800 of the family's 1533-position model. The record is from RNAcentral.
GUACACUCCUACGGGAGGCAGCAGUGAGGAAUAUUGGACAAUGGGUGGAAGCCUGAUCCAGCCAUCCCGCGUGCAGGAAGACGGCCCUAUGGGUUGUAAACUGCUUUUAUCUGGGGAUAAACCUACUUACGUGUAAGUAGCUGAAGGUACCAGAAGAAUAAGCACCGGCUAACUCCGUGCCAGCAGCCGCGGUAAUACGGAGGGUGCAAGCGUUAUCCGGAUUUAUUGGGUUUAAAGGGUCCGUAGGCGGACUGAUAAGUCAGUGGUGAAAUCCGACAGCUUAACUGUCGAACUGCCAUUGAUACUGUUAGUCUUGAGUAAGGUUGAAGUGGCUGGAAUAAGUAGUGUAGCGGUGAAAUGCAUAGAUAUUACUUAGAACACCAAUUGCGAAGGCAGGUCACUAAGUCUUAACUGACGCUGAUGGACGAAAGCGUGGGGAGCGAACAGGAUUAGAAACCCCUGUAGUCCCAUGA